UACUGAUUGAGUGCUCCGGUGAAAUGUCGGGAGAUUGCUCCGCCGAUCAGCAAUGGUCGCGGAGUGGUCGAACUUCAUUAAAUUUGGGCUCUUAGAAGAAGGAGAAGUCGUAACAAGGUUUCCGUAGGCGUCGUCGUCGGCGCCGCCUACAGGAGCUGGUCCUUCCAGCACGGUCAUCGCCCGGGAAGCCUUAGCAGCCGGAAACGGUGCUGAACGCGACUUUGUAAAAAACAACGAGUCAGCUUGAAUGCUAGUGUGGCGCGCGCCAUGCGACACUGUUAAAUUGCGGGGACCCCCUGAAGCUUUGUCUUACCAAGUGCUUGUGCGCGAAAGCGCCAGCAUGGCCGAGCCAAUCGCCCUGGGUAUGGUAACAACGGACAAGGAUGUUAUAUAUGGGUGAUCCGCAGCCAAGUCCUACGUCGAAUCGCGCAUGUUCGAUAUGGAACGGGUUCACAGACUAGAUAGCAGUGGGUGGCACACACACGUGUGUCGCUUAAGAUAUAGUCGGUCUCGUGCCGAAACGCACGGGGAGGUGAUCGACGCUCUUGCGUGUCGCUGUAUUCGACAACUGCAAGUGUGCGUCACAUGCACAUAUACGUUCCGUAGGUGAACCUGCGGAAGGAUC
This 625-nucleotide ribosomal RNA is filed under the name Plasmodiophora brassicae. RNAcentral's name for it is "partial 18S ribosomal RNA". The stretch from base 212 to 528 matches the Rfam family "Group I catalytic intron". From Rfam's summary of the family: Group I catalytic introns are large self-splicing ribozymes. The record is from RNAcentral. Lineage: Eukaryota; Endomyxa; Phytomyxea; Plasmodiophorida; Plasmodiophoridae.